Molecule: non-coding RNA, 32 nt
Filed under: Geobacter sulfurreducens KN400
Lineage: Bacteria; Pseudomonadati; Thermodesulfobacteriota; Desulfuromonadia; Geobacterales; Geobacteraceae
Source: RNAcentral
GCAAAUUAUCAGGUAACAUCUGAUCAGGUCAA